Molecule: non-coding RNA, 1232 nt
Organism: Malus domestica (apple)
Lineage: Eukaryota; Viridiplantae; Streptophyta; Magnoliopsida; Rosales; Rosaceae
Source: RefSeq, a predicted model, not a curated record
GCCCCGUGUACAUCACUUCUCACCAACUCCAUCACUACUCUCUAAUCUCCAUCACAACUCUCUCUCUCUCUCUCUCUCUCUCUCACUCACUCUCACUUCUUCCUCACCUCCUCACCAGAAAAAUAUCAAACUUGAGUGUUUCAAAAACCUGAGUUUUAAUCCAAAGUUCUCGAAAACCCAAAAAAGAUGAGGAAUCUUGAGUUUUUUUAUGAAGCAGGACACUUUCCCUUUCCCUGAUUCGUCUUCUCUUCUCUCCCUAACUUGUUUUCUCCUCUCUCCCUGACACGUCAUUUGUGGGUUUUAUUUAUUCAUUAUUAUUUAUUAUUAUUUUAUUUAUGGUUCUGAUUUUGUGUUGGCUGGGUGGGUUUUAUGGUUUUAGAUCGAUGAUGAUGACAACUAAGGAAGACGACUUGAACGGUCUGACUCCGAGCUGUAUCUGGGUUUUCUGGCACCAUCUAGCCAUUGAUGCAUCUGGGUUUUCCGGCACCAUCUGAUUUGAGCAUCUGGGUUGUGGUGGAGGAAACAGGGAAACAGUUGCUUGACAACUGAGGAUGACGACUUGAACGACGUCGUUCCUUCUGUGUUUGACGAAAAAAAAAAUGUAAUAGGAACCGUAGACCCGCUUCGAAUCGGUCCGUUUCAAACCGGGUUAUGUCCGGUUCCAAAAUUCAAAAGCCCUCUACCCGGCCCGGCCCGUGCCCAGCCCUAGUGUUAAUAAACUAAUUAAAUUAGUAAUUUCACAUUUAGGGAAAAUGUAUCCCGAGGACGUACGAGGUCAAGCAAGGCUCGAAGGCUUCGUUUCAACUACGUAUCUGUUUAGUAGUUGUGCUUACGUAUUUACAAGGAUUCUGGCAAAUCUCAGGAGAUGGUUACCUUCAGUGGUAUAACCCUCAUCCUAUUCAUUAUACUGUCAUAUGCUCUAACAUCACGUGUGAAAAGGGUUCAAUCCCGCUCAUCCGCGCACUCCUUUGUUUAGGCACUUUUAAGUUUAAAUUUAUUCACAUUCUUUUUUCACUACACUACACUUUAUGACUUUGUCACCCUUCAGGUGUCGGCCAACAUAACUCGAUUCGGAGUCCAAUGGAACUUUCCGGGUCGGGGUGUGUCACGGAGGCUUGGGUGAUCUUUUUAUUGUAAUUAAAUUUAUUUAUAACACAUAAUAAAUGUCUAUUUAUACUUAAAACAAAUAUAUAAUUGUAUUAACGAUACAUAAAUUGCAAAAUAUAAUAAUA